CUGGAUCCUGCUCAACAACACCCCAUUGUAUAGAGGUUUUUUCACGGCAAGAUCAUUUGUGUAUUUUGAAAUGCUUGGUCAUGACCUGUAUGUGCUAGAGAAAGAAUGGCUUCACAAGUUUACGACAAAACUUUGGCAGUUGGAUAGGCUGGAAGGUUGGAAAGUGUGAUUGGAUGGUACCACUCACACCUUGGUUAUGGAUGAUGGUUGGCAUACAUGCUGGACGACAGUCGGAGCGAG
Lolium rigidum is the source of this 240-nucleotide long non-coding RNA. RefSeq lists it as uncharacterized. The record is from RefSeq and is a predicted model, not a curated record. The transcript is spliced from 3 exons. NCBI's taxonomy places the organism in Eukaryota, Viridiplantae, Streptophyta, Magnoliopsida, Poales, Poaceae.